AGCAGCCGCGGUAAUUCCAGCUCCAAUAGCGUAUAUUAAAGUCGUUGCAGUUAAAAAGCUCGUAGUUGGAUUUCGGGAUCAAUAUAUCGGUCGUGCCUUGGUACGUACUGGUAUCAUUGGUUUCUCCUUUCUGACGAACCAUGAUGUCAUUAAUUUGGUGUUAUGGGAAGUUAGGACUGUUACUUUGAAAAAUUAGAGUGUUUAAAGCAGGCUUUAGCUUGAAUACAUUAGCAUGGAAUAAUGAAAUAGGACGUUCGAACCUAUUUUGUUGGUUUCUAGGAUCAACGUAAUGAUUAAUAGGGAUAGUUGGGGCAUUAGUAUUCAAUUGUCAGAGGUGAAAUUCUUGGAUUUUAUUGAAGACUAACUACUGCGAAAGCAUUUUGCCAAGGAUGUUUUCAUUAAUCAAGAACGAAGUUAGGGGAUCGAAGACGAUCAGAUACCGUCGUAGUCUUAACC
Molecule: ribosomal RNA, 456 nt
Filed under: uncultured Glomus
Lineage: Eukaryota; Fungi; Glomeromycota; Glomeromycetes; Glomerales; Glomeraceae
Description: SSU rRNA
Rfam family: Eukaryotic small subunit ribosomal RNA
Source: RNAcentral